GCUGCGUGUGUGGUCGGUAAAAGGGACCCUCCACACUUUUUCAGAACCCCUGAACCGAUCUGUGUGAAAUUUGGAUAUGUUUGUCCCCCAGAUCAGGGCUAUCAGGGGAUAUGUAAUUUGUGGGUAUACCUUGUGGGGAAAGGGGUGUUCUAAGUUUUGGAGAAAUUAUGUGCUCUCUGCCUGGAGAUAAUUGAUUUAUUCCUUAACUUAUCUCAAUAUCUCCCAGGCAGAGAGGAGGCGUGUAAUACUGUAAAUCUGUGUGAUGAUUGGCUGUUGCUUUUGUUUGCUGUGGGAGGUCCUCUUGCAGGAGGAUUUCUCAUAAAAGCCCGUGUGUUUUCAAUAAAGGCUAUUCCUGUUACACCCUUCAUGAAGUCUAGGCUCAUGUUUGGGAGCUACUCUACUUGUUGGGAAGAAUCACCUUGGAACUGCAUUUCAUCUAUUCUAUUCCUCUACUCCCUGCUGCAGCUACAAUCACUCAUGCUCAGCUGUUGGGAGAGGGAACCAAGACCACAGCACCAUAACCACUGCAGGUCUUAACAACUGGUGGCAAGCAACGGGAUUGAAUGGAACGCAUAAGGACAACUGGUGAAUGGCCCAGCAGUACAAGAAACUAAAAAGGACCACUCUAAAGGAUCUGCUGGAAGCUCGGGGACAAGUAGCCAGCAACAAAAAGAAAGCUAUCCUCAUAGCAGAAUUGAUGGAGGGCGACCAAUCCAGGAGCAUGGCGAAUGUCAGCCAGGAGGAAGCUGAAUUCCAACAAAAGGUGAUGUGGAGGCUAAAUCUUUAUGGGCCAAAUCCCACACCUGAGAUGGUGUCCCAAGUGCUGGCACAAGUGAGCGCAGAGCGGAGAGCGCUGCAGGCAAGCGUGAACCAAGGGGACAACGCUUCCCUAGCUGGAUCUAUAAAUGGAGGGCAGCGGAGAAAGAUCAACUAUGCUGCUUUUAAAAGUUUUGCAGAUGGAGAUAUGGAAAUUGACGCAUACCUGCAGGAUUUUGAGCAUCAAUGCGCAUUGGAAGGUCUGGAAUCAGAGCAAUGGGCUGCGAUUUUAAGCAGUAAACUGACAGGCCGAGCAGCGGAGGCGUACCGAGCAGUUCUUGACACAGCCAUACACGACUACGCCAGGGUAAAGGACAUUCUGCUAGCCAGGUAUGCCGUGACCCCAAAGACUUACAGAAAGAAGUUUCGGGCAUUACGGAAAGGGGGCCGAGACUCCUACACCGAGUGGGCCUUUAGGAUGUAUCGGGCAGCACAAAAUUGGAUACAAGGCUGCCAAGCUACAACGCUAGAGGAAGUACUACAACUUUUCUUGCUAGAACAAUUUUUUGACCACACUCCUGCAGAUACCAGGGACUGGGUCAGAGACAGGAAGCUGUCCACAGUCGAGGAAGCAGCGAAGUUAGCAGAUGAGCAUCAUGAGGGAAGAAAAGGAGAAGCGGGUGGGAACCGUCCUCUGGUAGGGUACAGUGCCCCAACGCCAGGUCCUGUAGCCAACCCCAGACCUAACCCGGUACUACCCACGACACAGCCUACUUUUAAUAGAAGAGCCCCUGUAGUAUGUCACCAGUGCAACCAGCCAGGGCACUACAAAAUGCAUUGCCCUCAGCGAAGCAGAGGCAACUGGGAGCGGCCCCCACCACCACCAAGGGCCGCCGCUCACCACUACCAGCAUGAACCCCUGGAAGAACACAGCCUAGAUGCAGAGCAGUGGGCCAUACUACAUGAGGUGAACCUAGCCCAAGCCGAGGGAGACAACCGGGUGCACCACAGACAAUGGGUCCCCAUAGACGGAAAAGAGGCAGAGGCGCUACGAGACUCUGGGGCUACCCUUACCUUGGUACAACCUCACACGGUGUCUGCAAAAGCGCGCACCCAUAAGACUGUAGCCGUAAGGGUGACAGGGGGCGCCAUCCACAAGUUACCCACAGCCCGGGUACAGUUAAACUGGGGCACCGGAGCCAAGCAGAUGGAGGUGGGCAUGUUGGGAUUACCUGCGGAAGUUUUGUUGGGGAACGAUUUGGGGUGCCUAACUUCACAGCUGACUCACCCCGAUUCCGCUGGAACCUGCCCCGUGACGACCAGGGCACAAGCCCACCGUGCUGGACCGACACACUCUGAGGAACCACAGGUAGGAUCCGAAACCCCCGUAACCUGCCCUAUCCCUAUUCCUUUCUGGGGCGCUCCCCAAGAUUUUGGCCAAGCCCAGCAGUCAGACCCCACCUUAGCAGGGUACAGGAAGGCAGUAGGGGUCUCUAAGGAAUGUAGUGUCCACGAGAGCUUUCACUGGGACAAGGGACUGCUAUAUAGGGUCACAGGGGGAGUGGGGCAGGGGGCAGCCCAAGUUAUAAAAAGACAGUUAGUCGUGCCCCGUAAAUACCGGGCCGAGCUGCUAAAGCUUAACCAUGAUAUCCCGCUAGCAGGACAUCUGGGUAUCAAGAAAACUAAGGACCGUCUUACCCAGACGUUCUUCUGGCCGGGGAUAUCCAAAGAUCUGCAGACCUACUGCAGGACAUGUGACACAUGUCAAAGGAUUUUUUUUUUUAUUCUGUCAUCAAACUAAUAUGGUGACCAGGGAUCAUGUGACCAAGCUCAUGUAUGCCUUUCUUACAGCGAGAUAAGCUUUACCUUUUGAUAUGGUAAUUGGGUAAUUCAAUACCUUUACAAGUCAGGAAAGAGGUAACCACUUCCCCUAUCUCCAUUCCUCCCUGUUCCUUCUUGGCUGUGCAACAGAGCAGUCCCUUAAGCAGACAUGGCCUAAUUUCUAUCAUGGUGAACUGUGAGUGGGAUUUUAUAAGAUGUAGUUGUUAUUGUUAGUUAGGUUGUUGUUGCUGUUGGUGGUGGUAUAGUUAGUUAGAUUGUGUGUCAUUAUUUGUAUGUUGUUGUUGUUUUGUCUCUGAAUAAAUAUUUGUUAAAGUAGACGGACCAGAGUUUAUACGUGUAUGCGUACAUAAUAAUUUAUAGAGUUUGGUAAUUUACCACAUUUGGCGACCACGAAUUUUAGACUUCUACAACAAAUGUUUGUGAGGCGCAAUAACUACCAUAUUGAUACAUAAUCUAAAAAAAAGAGACUUUAUAGCAUAGGAUUCAUUUUGUUGAAACAAAUAUACAUAUGUGUUUUGUUGACUGUUUUGAAUUUGUGUAUUGUGACUGACAGAACAUCUUUUGUUGCAAAUUGUAGCAUUUAUAGGUUUAACUUUGUUUCUGUACAGUUUUAAAGUAUUGGUGAUAAAAGGGGAAAAUUGUAUAGUUUCACUGCAUUGGAACCUUUGAUGUUUUGGCCAUUUUUAAUUGCCCAUGUGCUGUAUUGUCUCUCUCUUGUUGCAACUAACUAGAAUGAAACUUAAUCUAUUUUAAUUGUUUUCUUAUGUGUUAAAUUGUGUGGCUUCACUGCAUUCUGAGUUUAAAUAGGAAACUUUUUUGUUGUUAUCUUUUGUCUGUUUGAAUAAUUGAAUUCAGGAUAGGAGCAUAAUGUUUGUGCAUUGUGACUGACAGAACGCAUUUUGUUGCAAAUUGUAGCAAUUAUAGUUUAAUUUUGUUUAUGCACCCUUUUAAAGUAUUGGUGAUUAAAAGGGAAGAUUGAAUAGUUGCACUGCAUUGGUACUAUUGAUGUUUCGCCAUUUUUAAUAGCCCAUGGGCUGUAGUGUCUCUCUCCUGUUGCAACUAACUAGAACUAAACUGAAUAUAUUGUAAUUGUUUUUAGAUGUUACAUUUUGUACAUUUUGUGGCUUCCCUGCAUUCUAAGUUUAAAUAGCAAACUGUUUUUUUUUUUGGUUAACUUUUGUCUGUUUGAACCAUUGAAUUCUGGGUAGGAGCAUUGUGUUUACACGAUAAAGGUAUUGGGGCUAAUACAGUGUGGUGGCUAUUGUUUAGCCAGGCUAAUAUUUCCAUUUUUACACUGGAGUGUGUUUAAUAGAAAAUGAACAGUUUGUAUUUGAGGUAAAUAUUAUGAAGUAAAAGUGCCUAUGUUAGAUUGUUAUAUGGUUGGGAAUUAUCAUUGUGCUGAAGUUACAGUCAGGUAUUUUCCAGUUCCCAUACCUUCCUUUAAAUCAUUCUGUUUAUCUGUAAACCCCCCACACUGCACUUAAACAAAGGCAGAAGGGUGGUUUUGUGCUUUGCUAUCUGUGGACAUUUGUUGUAUUGAGACUGUGAAGUUUUUUUUCUUAAAAGACAAGAGUUUGUUUGAAUAGGUUAAUGUAAUUAAGUUUCUCAAAUGGUUCAAUCUCUUUGGAGCCAGUUUCAGUUUUUUUUUAAAUGAAUCCCAUUGUUAAAAGCUUGUUGUUUUUUUUACUUGGUCUGCUGGUCUAUUUCGAUUAAAGACUCAGGGAGAGCACGGUUUUAAAAUGUCAUAUCUAGGUACUAAGUAUUUUUCUGCAGAAGUACUAGAGUACUUCAAGAAUGACAUUGACAAACAUGAUGGACCAUAUGAGCUUCCAGAACCAGCAGGCCCCAAUUGUGGAAAAUAUGAAGGUUUCAUGGAUGUUUUGAAACAAGAAAAAGAAAAGCUUGGUGGCACAAGCAGUUGUUGCUGCAAUAGGGGGUUUGACAAGCAUGGUACUCAAAUUGCAGCAAGCUAAUUUAGUAACCACUAAUAAAAUGGAAGAUGCUCUUGAUAAAAGAGAUUGUUUUAAAAUAGCUGUCUUAAGAACAAACAAAAUGACCGAGGGGUUGGAGAAGGAAUUAAAGGAAAUAGAACAACAGAGAGAUGCCUAUAGUGCUAAGAUCACUGAACUCCAAAACCUAGUUAUGGAAUAUAAAAUGAAAACUAAAGAAAACAUAAAUAAAUGGGAUAAGGAGAUUCCUAAAGUAUGCCCAGGCCAGUCUCAUUUUAUAUCUAAAAGUACAGAACCAGUGCUCGGAACCAAACACAAAGGAAAUGCGCCAGUUGUUAACUGUGUCCCACAAUCCCCUUUAAUAAUAACCGAACACUUUAAUGCAAGAGAAAUGCCUACUAGUUUCUCUAGACAGACAAGCACUAUGUCAAUCACAGAAAAAGAAAAUUUCCAGAAAUGGUAGGGAAGUAUGCCAAAUAACAACUUUAAUACUUUUACACACUGGUUUAUGAGGGGAGCAAAUAGAGCUAAAAAAGGAGGUCUUAACUUAGAGGAAUGGACAGAACUUUUAGAAUAUGCUAUGGGUCCUUUGGCUAGCAGACUAUUGGGAUUCAAUAACAGUUUGUCUGAUCAGGCAGGAAGAAUUGCUGCAACUAAUUUCUAUCUACUCAGCAUAGAGAAAGAAAUAGCUAAUAUUACGAUGAGGCCAGCAGAUGGUCCUAGAGAGGUAGCUCAAAGGAUAUUUUUCUGGUAUACACUACGCCAACCUCAACAGCCCCUGGUGUUGGGCUCAUCAAAACACAUUGCUAAAGUAAUGGAAGCCCUUCCCUGGGAGUGUCAAGAAUUUGUCAGGCUUUUUGAUCCAACACCAGCAGACUUAGAAAUGCUACUAACUAGAGCUGACAAUUGGUGGAUUAAGCAUCCUUUCUCAGAACAGGCCUUCUCUGUUUCAGCCAUAAGAACAUUCAAGGUUGACUCUGGUCGAGAUAUAGAUGGUAAAUGGAGAAGCCAGAGGUGGGAUGUACCCCAGAACAAGAGGGAUAAUGAGAACUGGAGACCAAAACAGGACUUUGACAAAAGAUGGAGAGAUCCACAGAGGGACCAUAGGAAUAGGGACAGUUCUAAAGGAAGUAAUGUAAUGGGAGAUAAUUGGAAAAAUAGAUGGGAGGAGCCUAAGGCAAUCAAUAAUAAUUGGAAUAAUAAUAAUACAUGGAAGAGGCUAAAAAGGAGAGAUAACUGGGAAAAUCACAGUUGGCAAGAAAAACAGAGAAACAACAGGAACAGUUAUUGGGAGAAUAAUUGGAAAAGGAACCAUAGAUGGGAUGAGCAUCAGACCAAUAGACGGAAUUGGGAUAAUUGGAGGAAUAAAGAAGGGAAUAGAGACUACUGGGACCUAAAGAGACAGACUGAGAGAUUGGAAGCAGACGUGAAAGCGCUUAGGGAACAGAUGAGGGAGGGAAAUACUGAUCAAUUGGGGGUCCCCAGCAAUGAAUAACUCCCAUAAUGUUUGUUGUCCUCUACAGCUGUAUGUAUGUUUGUUUUUCUUUUGUUUCUAUAUUUUAUCUGUCUCACCAUUAUCUCGUAACACUCCAGUUUAAAGAGGACCUUAGUAUGUAUUGUUAUAUAUAUAUAUUUUUUUUUUUUUUGUCAUAUUAAGGAUAAGCCUCUAAAUUCAUUCAUUACAGUCAGGUGGGCCAAAUUCCAAAUAAUUUUUGUUUUUAUUAGUUUAGCACGCCUGCACUGCCAGCUAUGUUUUAUUUAUUUUUUGAUGCUGGAUUAAUAAUUAUAAAUUCAUAGAUUAAGUGAAUUGUUGCCAAUGUGAGGCUUAUAUUUGAUCACACUGGAGAGAUGUGAUAGUGUAACUUUCUGUUGGUUUACAACAGUAAAAACAUUAAAAGCAUUUUUUUUCAUUUGGUUACCAACAAAUAUAACCUCAAGUUGAUUUUUUAUUUUGAUUUUUGAAUAGCAACAGACAGUUUUCUAUAGAUUGCACGCUGCCAAACUGUGUAAUGGUAGCAUUCAAUCUACUUUUUUUUCUUCUCUCUCCAUCUUUGAUGCUUUGUUUUUUUUUUGUUUUGUUUUUUGUCAUUAAGAAUAUAGGGAAAUUAGAUUGUUUGAGUGAAGAUGGUAUAAAUAAUAAAGUGACAAUGUAUGCUAUUUGUUCUAUUUGGCUAUCCGCAGGGGGUUAAAUAGUUAUGGGUAUGAGAAUUUGCACCUACAUUCCAUUGCAAAUACAUUUUUCACCCUUACAUCUUUCCCACUCACGUUCAUGUAUAAUAAUUUUCGGUGUAAACUAUGUACAUUUUGUGAUUAUUGCAUGUAUUCAUCAGUAAAUUAUAAAAUAACUAAUAUGGUUUUGUGUUCAACUCUCCAUCAGGUGUGGAGUAAAUGUCUAAAUUAAUAAAAAUUUCAGGAGACAUUUGUGGGUCUUUUACAUACCUCUAAAAUGUAAACAUAGCCUUAAGACACCACAACCAAAUAGAUUUUAUUAGACAAAACUAGUUAAGCCUUUGACACAAGACAAUAUGCUGAUUACUGUUGUACAUAUUUCAUUGUCUGUGUUUGAGUCAAAGAACAUUUUAAUUGGAAGGCCCAGAGAGGCGAAGGUAACUGACAUGUCCUGUCACAGUUUACUAUACAGCUGUAGAAGUGCUGGGAUUACCAAGACAAACUAUUAACCUGAAAAUGAUUACUAUUCAGAUGAAGAAGUGCUGGGAUUACACGUCAAACUAUUAUCCUGGAAAUGGAUACUAUACAGAUGAAGAAGUGCUGAGAUUACCAAGUCAAACUAUUAACACAGCCCAGAAUGAGGGUAAAGGAACAGCAAGAAGCAGGAAUUUGUGUCAUUUCAAGGUGGUCACAGAAUGAGUUUACCCUACACUCAUGAACUUGCAUGUGUCAUUAAACCUACAAACCUCAAGCUUUGUAAUGGAUUGGCAAAGACAAUAUUCAAGAAGAGUUCAUUCUAAAAUCACAGCUAUCAAGCACACAGAUCAGUCACAGUCUUCAGAUUCCAGUCCCAGGCAAAAUGAAACAUCAUAUUGUGUCAUAAACUAGUGAUAAUUACUGUAUGGGGUUGAUUGCGUCUAGAUAUUACUACUUCACAUGAACACAUUACCAUAUAAUAUUAAUGAACAUUAAUAUUAAUGAAUUAACCCACUUGGGCAGUGGUUAAUUUAAAAAAUGGAACAACUGAAAACAAUAGAAAUUGGGGGAAUGUGGGGUGAUGCAACCCCUGUUUGACUAUAUUCUUUCUCUCACUUUUAAAUGUGCUCAACAUAAGAGAAAAAAAAGUGAGGGAAUGUGGUGACAUUCUGUCAUCAAACUAAUAUGGUGACCAGGGAUCAUGUGACCAAGCUCAUGUAUGCCUUUCUUACGGUGAGAUAAAAUUUACCUUUUGAUAUGGUAAUUGGGUAAUUCAAUACCUUUACAAGUCAGGAAAGAGGUAACCACUUCCCCCUAUCUCCAUUGCUCCUUGUUCCUUCUUGGCUGUGCUACUGAGCAGUCCCUUAAGCAGACAUGGCCUAAUUUCUAUCAUGGUGAACUGUGAGUGGGAUUUUAUAAGAUGUAGUUGUUAUUGUUAGUUAGGUUGUUGUUGCUGUUGUUGGUGGUAUAGUUAGUUAGAUUGUGUGUCAUUAUUUUUAUGUUGUUGUUGUUUUGUCUCUGAAUAAAUAUUUGUUAAAGUAGAC
Molecule: non-coding RNA, 8236 nt
Organism: Pelobates cultripes (western spadefoot toad)
Lineage: Eukaryota; Metazoa; Chordata; Amphibia; Anura; Pelobatidae
Source: the annotation of a GenBank genome assembly